RNAcentral lists this transfer RNA (75 nucleotides) under Bacillota bacterium. Its description in RNAcentral is "Firmicutes bacterium (anaerobic digester metagenome) tRNA-Glu". It matches the Rfam family "tRNA". From Rfam's summary of the family: Transfer RNA (tRNA) molecules are approximately 80 nucleotides in length. Their secondary structure includes four short double-helical elements and three loops (D, anti-codon, and T loops). The record is from RNAcentral. Lineage: Bacteria; Bacillati; Bacillota.
GGCCCCAUCGUCUAGGGGUUAGGACACCGCUCUUUCAAGGCGGCGGCAGGGGUUCGAAUCCCCUUGGGGCUACCA